RNAcentral lists this ribosomal RNA (497 nucleotides) under uncultured bacterium. RNAcentral describes it as "partial 16S ribosomal RNA". It matches the Rfam family "Bacterial small subunit ribosomal RNA", at positions 28 to 507 of the family's 1533-position model. The record is from RNAcentral.
GAUGAACGCUGGCGGCGUGCCUAAUACAUGCAAGUCGAGCGAACAGACGAGGAGCUUGCUCCUCUGACGUUAGCGGCGGACGGGUGAGUAACACGUGGAUAACCUACCUAUAAGACUGGGAUAACUUCGGGAAACCGGAGCUAAUACCGGAUAAUAUAUUGAACCGCAUGGUUCAAUAGUGAAAGACGGUUUUGCUGUCACUUAUAGAUGGAUCCGCGCCGCAUUAGCUAGUUGGUAAGGUAACGGCUUACCAAGGCAACGAUGCGUAGCCGACCUGAGAGGGGGAUCGGCCACACGGGAAGUGAGACACGGACAAGACUCCUACGGGAGGCAGCAGUAGGGAAGCGGCCGCAAUGGGCGAAAGCAUGACGGAGCAACGCCGCGUGAGAGAUGAAGGUCUUCGGAGCGUAAAACUCUGUUAUUAGGGAAGAACAAAUGUGUAAGUAACUAUGCACGUCGUGACGGUACCUAAUCAGAAAGCCACGGCUAACUACGUG